CAGCAGUCGCCGCGGGAAUACAGAGGGUGCGAGCGUUAAUCGGAUUUACUGGGCGUAAAGCGUGCGUAGGCGGCUUUUUAAGUCGGAUGUGAAAUCCCUGAGCUUAACUUAGGAAUUGCAUUCGAUACUGGGAAGCUAGAGUAUGGGAGAGGAUGGUAGAAUUCCAGGUGUAGCGGUGAAAUGCGUAGAGAUCUGGAGGAAUACCGAUGGCGAAGGCAGCCAUCUGGCCUAAUACUGACGCUGAGGUACGAAAGCAUGGGGAGCAAACAGGAUUAGAUACCCCUGUAGUCCCUGUCUCUUAUAC
Molecule: ribosomal RNA, 304 nt
Filed under: uncultured bacterium
Lineage: Bacteria
Description: partial 16S ribosomal RNA
Rfam family: Bacterial small subunit ribosomal RNA
Source: RNAcentral